UCAUGACCUGGGAUCUCUUUUUCCUUGCAUUCCUCACUUACUUCUCCGGUAUCACUUCCUUACCAAGCUGGAUUCAGCCUGCCUCCGAGUCUGUGUCCCUGGGCCAAACAGCCAAGCUCUCCUGCACUGUUAGUGGUACCCAGUAUGCUAUUUACUGGUAUCAACAGAGAGGUGGGCAGAAGCCCCGCUAUCUCCAUUAUGCUGGUGGCAGCAGGGGAGAAGGGAUUCCAGAUCGAUUCACUGCAACUGUCUCUGGGAACAUUGGCUACUUGACCAUCUUGAAUGUUCAGGAAGAAGACGAGGGUGAUUAUUACUGCGGCAUGUGGUAUGAUAGCAGCAACUGGAAGUAUAACAGUGGUAAAGUCUGA
This is a non-coding RNA of Heteronotia binoei (common prickly gecko), 368 nucleotides long. The record is from the annotation of a RefSeq genome assembly. NCBI's taxonomy places the organism in Eukaryota, Metazoa, Chordata, Lepidosauria, Squamata, Gekkonidae.